GUCCACGCCGUAAACGAUGGAUACUAGCUGUUGGGGGCAACUUCAGUGGCUAAGCGAAAGUGAUAAGUAUCCCACCUGGGGAGUACGUUCGCAAGAAUGAAACUCAAAGGAAUUGACGGGGGCCCGCACAAGCGGUGGAGCAUGUGGUUUAAUUCGAUGAUACGCGAGGAACCUUACCAAGGCUUAAAUGUAGAUUGACAGGACUGGAAACAGAACUUUCGCAAGACAAUUUACAAGGUGCUGCAUGGUUGUCGU
RNAcentral lists this ribosomal RNA (255 nucleotides) under uncultured bacterium. RNAcentral describes it as "partial 16S ribosomal RNA". It matches the Rfam family "Bacterial small subunit ribosomal RNA", at positions 793 to 1055 of the family's 1533-position model. The record is from RNAcentral.